Molecule: small nucleolar RNA, 138 nt
Organism: Tachyglossus aculeatus (Australian echidna)
Lineage: Eukaryota; Metazoa; Chordata; Mammalia; Monotremata; Tachyglossidae
Source: RefSeq, a predicted model, not a curated record
CCCCUCUCAGGGUCACACCUGGAGAGUUUCUAGUCCUCUACCAGUCUCGGCUAUGGGAGGCAGAGUUAAGCAGAGGUCUGUCCAUUCCAUGCCUAGCUUGGCUAGUGGUUAGCGAGUGGAAGGCAAUCUGCUACAAGU